Non-coding RNA from Peromyscus maniculatus bairdii (prairie deer mouse), 2554 nucleotides. The record is from RefSeq and is a predicted model, not a curated record. NCBI's taxonomy places the organism in Eukaryota, Metazoa, Chordata, Mammalia, Rodentia, Cricetidae.
GGGCAACGCGGGGACCAGCACCAGGCCCUCGGCCUCGAUUCCCGCGCUCUAUGGGACCGCGUCCCCGACCCAUGCGGCGCCGCACGGGGACUCCAGACUCCAACCGAUCCCAUCCCUGCGCCAGGCGGGCAGAGCGCUCAACUCGGGGCUGGAGAAUCCCGAGGAUCGAUAGUAGGAAAGAAUAGAAAGUCUCCCUGCGCGCGGGGAGAGCGUAGGGCCAGCCUUGCUCAGCAGCAGGCAGACUGGGAAAGCAGAACUCCAGGACAGCCCUCGGCGGGGCCCGCGGCGGGUCAGCGGGAGGCGGGAGGGAGGUGCCCGCAGCCCGGACUCGACGUAGACGCCCGCGCCGCCCGCGAUGGGAAGUGCCUUAUAAAGCCGCGGCUUGCGCGGCGGGACAGACUCCUGGCGGCGCCGCCCAGAGCGCGGACCGCACGCAGCCGCCCCAGAGUGUGUACGGAGCCCGGGCAUAUCCGCGGGGUACCAGCCUCGCCCCACGCAGACUCUUAACUGCCGUGGCUGGGCUCGACCGCGUCCUAAAGAAGGACCCCUGAUCGCCCCUGUCCGGAACCACUCUUGCCCAGGCGGACCCCGGGUUGGGGGCCGAGGGCGCCCCCGGCGGCAGGGGCAUGCGCGGCCCGCGGCAUGGCCUCGGCGGUGUUUGAGGGCACGUCGCUCGUGAACAUGUUCGUGCGCGGCUGCUGGGUGAACGGGAUCCGCAGGCUCAUCGUCAGCCGGCGUGGCGACGAGGAGGAGUUCUUCGAGAUCCGUACCGAGUGGUCGGACCGCAGCGUGCUCUACCUUCACCGCAGCUUCGCAGACCUGGGUCGCCUGUGCAAGCGCCUCCGUGACGCCUUCCCCGAGGACCGGCCCGAGCUGACGCGCGCGCCGCUGCGGCAAGGACUGCUUGCCAUCAAGGAAGCACACGACACAGAGACCAGGCUCAAUGAGGUUGAGAAGCUAUUGGAGACUGUCAUCAGCAUGCCCUGUAAGUAUUCUAGGUCUGAGGUGGUGCUCACCUUCUUUGAGAGAUCGCCUCUGGAUCAGGUGUUAAAAAAUGAUAAUGUCCAUAAAAUUCAACCCAGCUUUCAAAGUCCUGUCAAAAUAUCAGAAAUCAUGAGGUCCAAUGGAUUUUGUUUGGCAAACACAGAAACAAUAGUCAUUGACCACAGCAUACCCAACGGGAAGGACCAGCUCCUGGAUGCGGAUUCCACAGAGCAUCUAUCCAGCAUCUAUAUUACUCUACACUUCCUGGACUGGAGCUGUGACACGCCGGUGGUCUCACAAGUUUAUGAGUGCUCCAUUAGAACCUUAUUCUAGAGAGGAGCAUGGAUUACUGAGGGCUGGACAGCCAAAGGCCACUGUUGCCUGCAGUCUCCCACCUCUACAAUGGGACUUCUGACCAGGAUGUGCUGGAGAGAGCCUGCCACCUAGAGGCCUGGAGGAACAGCUGCUUGCAUGCUUAGCUCCUGCAGGUUUGAGAAUGGCGGCAAGUUCUCUCCGGAGCUGGAGGAUGGUGAUGACCCAGCAGCUUAUGUCACCAACUUGUCCUAUUACCACCUGGUUCCGUUUGAGACAGACAUCUUGGACUGAGCCACUCCAUCAGGCCUUCUCUGCCUCAGUUGGUCCUUGACUGCAUGUCCUCAUGCUGUCCACUGUGUGGCCCCCACGGGCCAAAGCCGCUGCUCAGCCUGGGCCUCCUGGGCCCUGAGAUUCACCAGGCCUAGAAAUCCUGAAAGCGGAAGCACAGGGGCUCUUGCUGUCCACAGGCUGACGCCAGCAACAGGAGGCCACAUGCCCUGCAGCUCUGAGGGGUCUUCCACCAGCACUCAGCCCCGCUAGCCUGCCUCUUCUCCCGGGACACACUGUUCCUGCGGGCCAUGCUUCCUCUUGUUCUCACUGCCUUCUUGAGGGGAGCGUUCCGCUUGGUCACAGGGCCCUGACUCCCCAAAUUUCUCUCAUGUGUCAAAGGCACAUUUCAAGAGGAUUUUUGAUAAAUCACCAAGGUCUGGACCACAAGGGCAGGGGAGAGUAAGUGACUCAGGGCUUCCCUGAGAUGUGUGGCUUUUGUUUCUUGCUUUACAUCUCCUCCCUGGAAAUGGGGUUUGGGGGUCAGCUGGAAGGAGUGUUUACGCAAUGUCAAGCCUGGAGGGAAGUGCUGACAUCAGGGAGGGGAAAGCAUUCAGAGUCCUGUGUGUAUGAACCCAGUGUGAAGUUUUCCUCCAGAGCAAAGAGUUCCCUCCUCUCUGCCAGCCCCUGUCAGCUCUUCUGCCUGACUGUGAUGCUCUUACCAUCUCGGGUGCUCGAAGCUCCUCCCCUGGUGCACUCAAUGGCACAACUGCCAUGAUGAAUCAGAAAGGAAGGGAUGGGGAGGAAGGGAAGCUUACGGCUUGGACCACAGGCAAGUCUGGGUCCUGCCCGCUCGUCUCCUCACUGUGUCUACUAACGACCAGCAUUUGCUAAUGUAAAUAAUAGUAAAUUAUUGAAAAUUCUAAUUCUUUUACACAGUCUGUUUUUAAUCUAUUUUAAUUAAAUAAAAUCUAUUGCUCUACUUUGA